GAUGGCUUCGAGGGUUGCGGUGGAGCAUUUGGAGAGAAUUUCGCAAAGAUUUGAGUUUAGUCUGGAUAAUAUGGACUCAUUGGUGCAGACUUGCAUGACUACUCUGUCUUCGAAGAUUGUUAGUCGCUGUAAGCGUAUGCUAGCUGAGAUCGCAGUCAAAGCAGUUCUUGCGGUUGCUGAUCUAGAGAGAAAAGAUGUCAAUUUAGAUUUGAUCAAGGUAGAAGGAAAAGUUGGGGGGAAAUUGGAAGAUACUGAGCUCGUAUAUGGGAUUAUUGUAGACAAAGAUAUGAGCCAUCCUCAGAUGCCUAAGAGAAUCGAGGAUGCACAUAUUGCUAUCCUCACUUGUCCUUUUGAGCCACCGAAGCCAAAGACAAAGCAUAAGGUUGACAUUGACACCGUAGAGAAGUUUCAGACUCUGCGGCUGCAAGAGCAGAAGUACUUUGACGACAUGGUUCAGAAAUGCAAGGAU
RNAcentral lists this unclassified non-coding RNA (469 nucleotides) under Hevea brasiliensis (rubber tree). Lineage: Eukaryota; Viridiplantae; Streptophyta; Magnoliopsida; Malpighiales; Euphorbiaceae. The record is from RNAcentral.